Molecule: long non-coding RNA, 250 nt
Filed under: Mytilus galloprovincialis (Mediterranean mussel)
Lineage: Eukaryota; Metazoa; Mollusca; Bivalvia; Mytilida; Mytilidae
Source: RNAcentral
GUAGAACUUCGGGAUAAUUUGGAAUCUCUAUCUUCUCAGAAAUUAAAACGAUCAAAACUUUUAAUUUUCUAACCCUGUAUACGAGCAUUACCAUAAAAAUUGGAAAUUGGUCAAACAAUAAAUAAUCCACAAUGCUUUUCAAUAUAAAAUUGGUAGCGGUAAUGUCUGUCGUCUAAAACUUGCAAGAAGGAAAAGUUGGUAAACACCCACACACUUCGACAAAAAGAAUAUAUUUGAUAUUCGACAAAAG